Aedes albopictus (Asian tiger mosquito) is the source of this 118-nucleotide non-coding RNA. NCBI's taxonomy places the organism in Eukaryota, Metazoa, Arthropoda, Insecta, Diptera, Culicidae. The record is from Rfam.
UGCCCAGCGACUCCUAUCCCUACCUCCACGCGGUACCGGCCGGAAACUAUGAGAAACCUUAGGGAAGAUCGGGUAACCAACCCCGGUGGGAACUUUGGUCGUAGGCUGAGAAGGAAGG